Molecule: long non-coding RNA, 1014 nt
Organism: Manis javanica (Malayan pangolin)
Lineage: Eukaryota; Metazoa; Chordata; Mammalia; Pholidota; Manidae
Source: RefSeq, a predicted model, not a curated record
UCUGCAGCCAGUCUGGGCCUCUCUUCCCUAUGGCUACCAGCACAGCAAGAGGAGAGGCUGUGGUCCUUUGUCUCACCAUGGGCCAGCUUAUGGAAACCACAGACCAUUCAUGGAGUGAAAGAAGGGAAAAGAAUUAGCAAAAUGAACUUGUGAAUGUAUGAACGUAAGAACUGACGGGAAUGAUGAGAUCAGUGCUUCUCAGUAUGCGGGGCCAGAACCAGCAGCAUCCAAUCUGGAGACGUGUUAGAAAAGCAGAUUCUCAGGCCCCACCCCAGACCUACAGAGUCAACAACUCUGCACGUGGGGCUUAGUAAGCCAAAUUUUAACAAGCCUUCCAGAAGAUUCUGAUGCAGCUCAGGAUACUGUCUGCCUGGAACAGGUGAAGUUCAUCAAUUUAAUUUGACCAAACCACUGGCAAACACCCACUCCUUCCUGGACUCUGCUCUGUGUGCUGGAAGCACAGACACAUAUAAGACCCACUGUGACCUUGAGAAGAUUCGUCUAGAUGAGAAGACCUGUGGGCGACUGCAGCUUGCUAGUGCCUGGCAUAUGGAGAAGUUUCCUGUGGACAACCACGGUCCGAGAGCAGAUGAUCCUCUUUCUGAUACGUCAUCAGAAGGUCAAGAGUAGCCUAAAACUCUGUGACACAAUGCCUACGUCAUUCCCUCACUUCAUCUCAUCAUGUAGGCAUUUUAUCAUCUCACGUCAUCACAAGAAGGGUAAGUACAGUACCAUAAGUUAUCUUGAGAAAGAGAGACAGAAACCACAUUCACAUAACUUUUACUACAGUAUGUUUUUAUAAUCACUCUGUUUUAUUUCUACUUAUUGUUGUUCAUUCUCUUACUGUGCUUAAUUUAUAAAUUAAACAUUGUCAUAGAUAUGUGUAUAUAUAGGAAAAAACAUAGUGUAUAUGGGGUUCAGUACACAGUAUAUAGUGUGGUUUCAGGCAUCCACUGCAGGUCUUGGAAUGCAUCCCCCAUGCAUGGGGGGACUACUGCAGAUGCUGAAAGGAAG